UACGUAGGGUGCGAGCGUUGUCCGGAAUUAUUGGGCGUAAAGAGCUCGUAGGCGGUGUGUCACGUCGGCCGUGAAAACCUGCAGCUUAACUGUGGGCGUGCGGUCGAUACGGGCAUCACUGGAGUUCGGCAGGGGAGACUGGAAUUCCUGGUGUAGCGGUGAAAUGCGCAGAUAUCAGGAGGAACACCUAUAGCGAAGGCAGCUUGCUGGGACGCUACUGACGCUAAGGCGCGAAAGCGUGGGGAGCGAACAGG
This 254-nucleotide ribosomal RNA is filed under the name uncultured bacterium. Its description in RNAcentral is "partial 16S ribosomal RNA". It matches the Rfam family "Bacterial small subunit ribosomal RNA", at positions 524 to 776 of the family's 1533-position model. The record is from RNAcentral.